RNAcentral lists this transfer RNA (57 nucleotides) under Cyrtodactylus sp. RNAcentral's name for it is "partial tRNA-Tyr". The record is from RNAcentral. Lineage: Eukaryota; Metazoa; Chordata; Lepidosauria; Squamata; Gekkonidae.
GGCCGAGCAGGUGGCGAGCUGUAGACUCGUUCACGGGGCAUAUGCCCCCCCGACCAA